Molecule: long non-coding RNA, 26338 nt
Filed under: Prunus persica (peach)
Lineage: Eukaryota; Viridiplantae; Streptophyta; Magnoliopsida; Rosales; Rosaceae
Description: long non-coding RNA (PPER_LNC005035)
Source: RNAcentral
UUUCUUUGAAAGUGAUGUGCGUGUUAGUGUGUUUGGAAUUUUCACAAACAGUAAUUGCCCCAGCAAGGAUAAAUACGCCUUUCCCCCUGUCACUCAGUCGCUCGCUUGGUCUCUCUUUCUCCCGGCCGACGCCUCCACAGUCCACGACCUCCAGCUCUCUUCGCCAACCCAUUCGCAGAAUCGCAGAGCGAGCACAAAUCGAGAUCACCUCUCUCUCAUCAUUCCCAUUCUCCGAUUCCCCGUUUCCUAACAUCCUCCACCAUCGAUCACUCCAAACGGAAAAGGUAAAUAAAUGUAUUUUGUUUCUGUGUUUAUUCCAGCAUAUGGUCUUUGUUUUGGUAUUGAAUAGAUGCAAUGAUUUGGUUGCAUUUUAUGUACUGGGUCUAUUGAUUUGAUUUGAUUUGAUUCUUCCAUUUUCUGAUUCUCCCCAUCAAUUUUCAAGUACCCAAAUUUAUCAUCUUAAUAAUUGUUGGGUUAUGGAUCAUUGGUGUAGAAACCAGUCUCAGGCUCUCUCGUGUCUGCAUUGUUCACUUGUGUGCUUGUUUAAGUUUCUAUUUUGCAUUUACUUUUGAUAUGCAAACAUAGGAGUCCCAUAUAAUAAAUGGUUCCUAAUAACAUUAAGGUCUUUUGUAUAAAAGACCCCGUUUGCUAAACAGGUGGUUAAGUUAAGAACAAUAUCUAUGUUGCUAGUGGUGGGCCAAGGAUCCGUCUCGCUUAAAUCUUAACACAAGAAUAUUUGAUAGGAUUUACUUUUUUUAUUUUUAAACUAUGAUCCACAUCCACCAUUACUUGCUUAUAACUUAUUGAUUUUUCCUUGUUUUUAAACUCUUUCAAUUCUUUUUAUAAUUGUAUGCUUUUGUUUUGUACUUUUUCCUAUUUACUUUUAUUUUACAGUUUAUUACAUCCGAUUACAAAUUCAAAAGCAAACAGUGGAACUAAUUCCAUUCCAUCCUAAUUCCCAACCAAACUAUGUACUAGAUUCUAUUCGAGUACAGUUUUUUUUUUCUUCUCCAUUUUCUUAUCCAUUCGAGUUUGAUUUUUCUCGAUUUCCAUGUUUAAUUCUAACAUUUGAACUCCUUUUAUUUGGCUGCUUCUCAGUUUACUUUCUAAAACUUUUUUCUGAAUCUAAUUCAUUGGUUGAUGUGGGCAUUUCUAUUUAAGUUUUCACAAUUCAAAAACCGCACAAGACGGCUGCGUUUUCUUAUUCUCGCUUUCUUCAGUUCUUUGUUCUUUUUUUUCUCCUCUCAUCUGAAAUUUUCUUCCUUUUUGACGUGGAAUUUGUCAAUAUAAUUAGUCACAAAUAUUGGGUUUCGUUGAAGUUUCUGUUUUGGGUUGUUUUUUUCUCUUAUUGGGUAUGCACUGGAAGGUUAAAUGGUUUUGAGGAAAUUUCAUGGCUUUGGACAAUUGGGCCUUCUGGGAGAGUUUGAUUGCAUAGGCUGAGGCUGAGUCUUGUGCAUUCGAGGCUCUUUCCAAGUCUUGUGCAAUUGGCUCUUUUGCUUUUAUAACAUGCAUCAAUUGUGUUGAUACCAUCAUUGGCCUCACGUGCUUUCUCCAAUAUAGUGGCCUCUCACAUGGGUUAAGUCUCAUAUACCCUAUCAUCUGACCAGGCAAGAAACCCAUGCACUUAAAGGAAGGCCCACGCCUCCUCCUAGAUGGCCUAACAUGCCUAAGCAAGUUGACCACUUAAGUGGUGGUUUUCCACAUGCCACAAGUACCAAGAUUGGCCUCUUUCCUGUGCCUCAGGUGACCAACCCAAGCUGCCCGUUAAACAAGGGAGGGCUUCUAUAGUGAGUGGGAAGUUAUAAGGGGUGUUUUUGAGGGGUAUGUAAGAGUCGUUGGAUUUCAUCCAACGGUGAGUUUUUAAAAGAGGAUGCAUGUAGAAUCGGGUUGAAAUCUAACCCGUUAGAAACCCAACUUCAGUUGUUCCCCUCUUUCCCUCUCUGUGAAAAACUGAAGAACACAAUCCUCUCUUUUUGAACGUAAAGCAAACCCACAAUUAGAAGGAUCCAAAUCUCUCAAACCUUAUAGUCACUCGAUUGUCAUUAGCUCGUUGGGAGGCCUGCGAUCUAUGGUAUCCUGGGUAUUACGAAGAAUGGCUCUUACCUAGCUGUUGCCCUGUUUUGAUUCUAUGGCUCAAGUGAAAACCACUUCUCUUUUUCAUUCAGCUGACAAGAUUCCAGAUGAAAGCAAAGUAGCAUAUCUCUUUUUGUAGCUAGAAGCCGCAGCAGCAGUUGUUCCUCGAUUUUGGUAGAGAUGGAGUCUCAAAUACCAAAGAGUCUUCUCUAAUGUCCACCACAUUCUUUCAAGCUGACUGACUGCAGAGCUCCCGAUUGAUUUUGAGAGGUAAGUUCACUUGCUGGAUUGAUUUUAUUGGGUUAGGUUUAUUUUUUGUGAGGGUGGGAAAUUCGUCAUUUGUGGCAUCAAUAAUGCGUCAUUUUUGGAAUCAAUAAUGUGUCAUUUCCUUAUGAAUAUUCAAUAUACUUAGUUCAUUGUUGUUGGUCGGGGUGGAAAAUUAUGAAAUGUAGGUAAAAGAACCUAAACUUAGGCUUAAUGACAUUAGGAGUAAGCAGUUGGAGAGGAUAUUGGGUGAAGUUCUGUAAUUGGUGGUUUGAAUUACAUUUGUGUUCUUAGUUGAACAUGUUGGUUCUAAUGUUAUUUUUACCAGAUUAUUUCACAAGAGAUGACGUAACUUUUAUGAAAUUUUGCUUGCGUUUUGUGUAAUCGGAAGUUAGGCUAUGCGUAUUUUGUGUCAAUUUGGGCAAUGUUUUGUGUAAGUGGAAUGCAUUGAUAUGUUGUGAUGCAGUAAUGAGUGAUUAAUGAAUGAAUAAUUGCUAUGCAGUAAUAUAGAAGUGGAUCAAUAAUAUACGUAGAUAAAAUGUAUGGGGGCUCAGAGAGUGAUGAAUGUGCAACAGCUAAUGGGAGGGUUUAUAUUCCUGAAGUAAGAAAUGAGGAAACACCAGCAGUUGGGAUGAAGUUUGACUCGCUUGACCUCGUUUACAAUUUCUAUAAUAGAUAUGCAUUCUUUGCUGGCUUUGGUAUUCGACUUCAUUCUAGCUUUUGGGGGAAAAAUAAGAAAGAGAUUUUGAGGAAAGAAUUUGUAUGUUGCAAACAAGGUGCAUACAGGAAGGAUGAAACUCGGGAGAGAAAAAGACAACGGGGAAUAAGUAGAUGCAAUUGCAAAGCUAAGAUUGUGGUUGUGAAGACAAAUGGGAGCAAGAAGUAUACCAUAUCUCUUUUUGCAGAGGGACACAAUCAUAAGAUGACACCCUCAGAAAGAAUGCAUUUAUUGAGAUCACACCGUCAUAUUUCAGAUUCUACAAAAGUACUCACAAAACAGUUGGGUUCAGUUAAUAUUCCCAUUCAUCAGAAGGUAAGUAUUUUCGAGGUGCAAUCCGGAGGAAUGGAUAAAAUCGGUUUUAUCAAAAAAGAUAUCUACAAUCUUGAAUGUAGUGUGAAUGGGAAGCUGAGGAACCACGAUGUUGAACUAGUGACCGAGUAUUUUAUGACUGAACAGAAAAAAAAUGAGGCUUUUUAUUUCAAGAUUGAGGGAGAUGGGCAUGACAGGUUUAGUCGAUGUUUUUGGGCAGAUGCAACUUCUAAACGGGCGUAUGGGUUUUAUGGAGAUGUUGUAUUCGAUACCACAUUCAACACGAAUCGAUACGACUUGACAUUUGCACCAAUGUUGGGAGUUAAUAACCAUGGUCAGACAAUUGUCUUAGCAUGCGCAUUUUUGAGCAAGGAAACGACUGAGUCGUUUGUUUGGAUGUUUGAGGAGUUUAAGAAAGCCAUGCCAGGUGGGGAACCUAAAACGAUCAUUACAGAUCAAGAUGCGGCAAUGGCCAUAGCGAUUUCAAUAGCCUUCCCGACUACAUUUCAUCGACUUUGCAUAUGGCACAUCACAUCAAAGUUCUCUGUUAAGUUACCACGUGACGCUUAUAAGGAGUAUUGGCGUGAAUUUCAGAAAGCCAUAUGGGAUACUGACAAUAAGGAUGAGUUUGAUGCAAAAUGGAAUAUUGUGGUUACAAAGGCUGGUUUGACUGACCAUCCAUGGCUAAGUUCAAUGUUUGAUUUAAGGGAAUCUUGGGUUCCAGCCUACGCACGACAAUUUUUUGCCGCUGGAAUGUCAAGCAGCCAAAGAGCGGAAGGUUCUCAUAGUUUUUUCAAGCAAUACAUAUCAAGGAGAAAUUCGUUGAUGGAUUUCAUAAUACGAUUUGAGAGGGCACUUUCUCAUCAACGUGAAAAAGAGUUAGUUGCUGAUCACGUAGAUGCAUUUGAAGUGGCUCAAUGUCUUCUACCGAUGCUAAUGAACAAACAAAUGGCUACCUUGUACACAAGGACAAUGUUUCAAAAGUUUGAGCAAGAACUAAUACAAAGUACAACAUGUUUCCUAGAGCUCAAAACAGAGGAUGCUUGUAAAGUUGUCUUUAACGUGAGCGAAAGGAAAAAUUGGGAAACAAGAGUGGCAGAAGUCGUAUAUGUCAAAGAUUCUGACCACGCAUCGUGUAGCUGCAGAAGAUUUGAAUUUGUUGGAAUUAUUUGCAAGCACAUCCUAGCAUUGUUCAUAAGGGACCAGAUUGAAUAUAUGCCCGAUAAAUAUAUUUUGAAGAGGUGGAAGAAAACUGCGAAAUCUAGAUUGGUGUCAGAUGCAAAUGGCAACGAAAUUAAAGACUGUGCAGAUCCUGGCCUUCUAAUAAAGCGGAGUACAAUGUCUCGACUUGCUUCAGAUGUGGUUGAGGAUGCAUUAAUGAGUGAAGAAGGAUGUGAGCUACUGUCAGAGACUCUAAAAAGUUUGCAGGUGAAGUUGAAGUUGCUGAAGGAUGGACCAAGUAAUAACGAAGUUGGAGGGUCCAGCUCUCAAACACAAUAUAUGAAAGACCCUAAGAGAGUGAGGUGCAAAGGAAGGUCGAAAGGAGUAACGGGAGCAAAGGAAAAGGCAAUGAAGCGAGGGAUUAGACACUGUCGGGAGUGUGGACGCAUUGGUCAUGAUAGAAGACAAUGCCCAGCCUUGAACACACCGUAAGAUGCUAACACUAUUUGUAAUAACAUCUAAAAUUUGAAUAGGUAAAAUUUUUAUGUGCUUGUGUUUGAUAUUUAUGCAGGACAUCACCGUCGAACAAUGACGAAUCAACUCCAAUACAUCGUAGUGACCCAUUAUUCAACGAUUUUGACAAGAUGCACGGACCAACUGAAUGAUUUAUAUUUGUAUUAGACGAAAUGUGGUUGUUAUGAAGAUUAAUGAUCAGGUGAAGUUUUAUAGAUUCAGUUUUUGAAUAUUAUUGUGUUUUUGUUCAUGUCCACCGAUGAGCUCUUACUAUGUCCACUGGUAAUUGAAAUGAAAAUUUGCUUGGUUUCAUUCUUCCAUGAAAUUUGGAGACAUGUUAAUUUUACGUCUUCUCCCUAUUUAUAAAUUUUCAUAGACAUUUGAUCAAGUAUGAAAUUUGUAGUUAUGUGAAGAAGCUAUGACUUUUACCGUGUAAAAUGGGCAGUUUAGGGUGAAUUAUGUUUUAACAGAGAUUCAUUUUUCAAAUCCUCAGGCUAAUGCAGCAUUUCCAGCAGCCAGCUGUUGUUUCCAUUACCAGUAAUCAUUUCCAGCAGUAGCCACUUUUUUCGACUGGUUAUUAGGGGCACGAUUUUGUACACUUUUGUAACUGAAGGAUACUUGAAGCACUUUGUUGGAAUAGAGCAAAUAGAAAGCAGUGUGUAAAAAAGAAACAUAACAUUGCAGCUAAUUACAUUUCGAUACUUAGGUGAAAAAUAUUAAAGGGUACACUAACUUACAUAAAUACUCAUAAUUCCACACACAAAAGAACAUUUGAUUGCAAAACAUAUUAUGUGCUCCCUCUUAGCAAUACCACGAUCUCCCCAACCAACUGAACAACGGUAGCCACAAUCACUCGGUCGUACUCGUCAGCUUCUUCUUAGCAGGUCUCACAUGCUUAUGGCCACUCAUAUCCCUAGUGAUAUAGACGAAAUAAAUCUUCAGCAAUAUUUGGAAUUUUAUUAUAUAUAAAUAAACCAUAAACCAUUCACUAAACAAUGUAUAGCACAUGUUAUGUUACUUAUGACUCACGUGUCAGUUUUUUUUUAACACAUUAGUACGCCAGCUCUUUAAUGUAAAUGGACAUGAUAAGGAGCAUUUACUGAUUCCCGGCUUGCUGUGAUAUUGACUGCUUAUUGAAUAAUAUUUCCAUAUUUGCAAAAUAUAAUGUUAGACAUUAUAACACAUGAUGACUUGCAAUACAUAGUCCCAAUAAUUAUAUAUGAAGCAAAUGAAACUGAUAUUUGUAUUAUUUUAAAUUAGAUAAUGACAUUAAGGGAGUAUAUGUGCAAUACCACGGUCACCCUCAACCAACUGAACAUCGGUAGCCGCAAUCACUUAGUCGUAUCGGUCGGCUUCUUCCGAGCAGCUUUGACGUGCUUAUGCUCAUUCAUGUCACCCCCAUCUUCUAGUAUCUCUCUCACAGCAUCAGGGGACACAUAGUUCCAAUCAUAACUUGUAUGAGUAGUUGCCGCAAAUGCUCGGAAUUUGUCGAUCUUUCGUGAAUGCCAACUCCAGUUCACUAUGGNNNNNNNNNNNNNNNNNNNNNNNNNNNNNNNNNNNNNNNNNNNNNNNNNNNNNNNNNNNNNNNNNNNNNNNNNNNNNNNNNNNNNNNNNNNNNNNNNNNNUUUCAUCAUUCAUUACUGUAAUCCAACUCCUCAGCUUUCAGUUUCCUUUUAUGACUCAGCUUCAAGUACUUGUGCUUUUGGGAGAACGCUUUGUUCACUCUAAUGUUAAGAUCAGCCAAAAUUGCCUUGUCUUCAACACAUUUCUCGUGCCAUGAAUUGAUCAGUCUGGAAUUAUAAUCCAGCUUGCCACUGACUGCAUGUAUUGCCUUUAAUGGAUCAUCGGAGUCCCCCUCACUCCUAAAUGAUGUUGAAAAAGGAAGGGGUCGGCGAGUACAAUGUGAAAAUAGAACCUGCGACUCCAAUUUGUCAUCUUCGAUUGUGUUGUUGGCGCCUGAAGAGGUUGACAUGCUUCAAUAAUCCUCUUUGUUUUGGGAGGAUGAGGAUUGCAUAUGCAAUUUCGUUUGAGAAAGGGAACAUAGGUUUAUAGACCAACAUACCAAAGCUUGUGUGUAGUCAACAUAUGUACUUUUUGGCGGGAAUUUUUUAAAAAUAGGUGUCAGCUUUUGCUUUUCAAGCAUGUCAACCUCACACUCUCCUUACACCACUGAUAGUGGUUGAAAGAAACUCAAUGGAAGUGACAUCUACUUAGUUAACUCAACCAAACUAGUUAGGAUUAAACUUAGAUUGUAUCAGUCCAAAAAUUUAUUUCUACAUUGUCAACCAAAUAUUUUUUGGCGGGAACCCUUUUCUUGGUAUUACUAUCACCCCUUUCAUAUAAAUUCUCCUUCCACACAAAACUCACUCCUCCACCGAAUCUGUCUCCAUCUACUGAUACUCUCUCAAGCAAACAAACUCAUUCCCCCCAAAGAAUGGAUUUACUAACCAAGUUUGAUGUGAGCAUAAUAAACACCCCUCCAAACAAAGACCGCCUUCAACACGCAAGUGAGUCACCAGACAAGCAAUGUCACAUUCCUAGACAGAAUGACCAUUUUGUUGGAAGUUUUGAGUCUGAAAGAGUUGUUGCUUUUUGGAAGGAGAGGCAUCUUGAACUUGGUGAUGAAAUCCAAAGGGCAAGGGCACAUUUGGAAUUUGUUGAAGGCCAAAUUGAAGAUGACAAAAGGCAGGCCAAUCUGGAUAGGGCGAAGUUGCAGCACAUGAAGCGUAGACACAAACGACUUCAGAGUGUAGCUGUUAAAAAAUACAAGAACUCAUCUAAUGCAGUGGAGUCAAAGAAGCAUGUGAUGCAAGCUGGAUUCGACUACUUCCGAUCCUAUGCAAAACUCGUCGUACCCGGGUUUGAUUGGUCAUCUAUUACCGUUUCUGACGUCACCAAAUAUACUCAGCAAGGGAAGUAACCAUUUUGGUUCUCGUGUUUGAGCAGAGGCAAAUCAGUGGAAUUGGAAUUUUCGUUACAGUCUGCUUCAAAGCUAUUUUGAUGCUAACUACUAUGGAAGAUUUAAACCUUAAUAUUUUGAUGUCUUUAAUUACGAAAACACAAGAUGCAAAGAGCCCAUCUACUUCUGUCAUAUGUUGCUGCCAUGUCCAUUUUUUGUUGAUCACGUAUCAGAUUUGGACAUGGUUGCAUCAUAUGCAAUGUUGCCUUUAUUUAUUAUAUGUUAGGACAAGGUUUAUGGAAAAGCUUUUGUGAGUGCGUUUGUGACAAGGUUAUGGAAUUAUUAUGACCAUUUAUAUAUUGUUUUUUGUACUGGUUCAUCUUCUACUAUUUCUUGCUUUCUUUAUAUUUUAUGUUUGUGGAAUCCCUCUCAAAGUUAACAUAUAUUGUGCAAAAAAAUACAGACUGAUUAUAUAAUCACUCAUAUAGACUAGGACAAAUAUUAACUAAGGGUUUUAAAAUUGUUUCACUUGUGUGAGGUUAUUGAGAAAAAGUAUGGCAUUAUUUUAUGUGAUUGGACAUGAUUGAAAAUAUAUUACUGAUUCCCAAUGCGGCGUCAUAUGGACAACUUAUUGAAUACUUCUGACGUGUUAAUAACUCUAGGUGCAGUUGCAUGUGGACAACUUAUUGAAUACCUCUGACGUGUUGAAAACUCUAGGUGCAGUUGCAUGUGGACAACUUAUUGAAUACGAACUGACGUCUUGAAAGCUCUAGGCGUAGUUGCAAUGAUGGCUUCAAAGCAUGUACAAUUAUUAUGGAUGUACAUUAUUAUAACAAAACAUAUUAUUGUAUAUAGUCAAACUAAAUAUUGUAUUAUUACAAAUUAUAUAUCGAAUAUUAUCCGAAAUAUACGUGUUAACGUGAAUUAGGGUUAAGAGGAAAGUGAGUUAUGUACAAAUAAUUUUGAUUUUCUCAUUUUCCGGGCAUUUUUUGGAUUUUCGUAGAAUUUUUUACCUAUUUCCACAGAUUGUUGCACUAAAAAAGCCAAAAUAAUAGCAAGAGGACACCUGGUGCGAUCUCAGCCCGUCACUUUUGACUACUUGCACAAGUGUACGUCAGUCAACAUGGCCACAGCCUCCCAUUUUACCCUAAAUUAUUAUUUUAUUACUUUGUCUUAGAAAAUUUAGAACUAAAUACACAAAAAUUCAAAAUUAUUUCCAAAAAUUGCUACGAACUCAUUGACACUCCAUCUCCCUUGCUGAAUUCUCCGAUUCAUUGUUACGCAUUUUAGACAAUUAUUCCCAACAUUAACGGGAGAUGCUUGUUGAAGUAGGUUAUUGAAGUUUAAGUUAACAAACAUCAAUACUUAGGGUUAAGAGGAAAGUGAGUUAUGUAAAACAAUUUGGAUUAUUUCAUUGCGAGACGAAUGAUUUAUAGGUUCUCCUAGUUUUAUGACGUCACAAGGAGGCCGGAGUAAUUUUUGGGGCAUUUUUAGGAUUUUUCUACUAUUUAUUACCUAGUUUCAAAGACUUUUUAACAAAAGAAUCCAAAAUUGAAAAGAAGAUGACACCUGGCGCGAUCUCAGCCCGUCACUUUUGACUACUUGCACAAGUGUACAUCAGUCAACAUGGCCACAUCCUCCCAUUUUACCCUAAAUUAUUAUUUUAUUACCUUUUUUCUUGUAAAAUUCAGAACUAAAUACACAAAAAUUCAAAAUUAUUUCCGAAAAUUGCUACGAACUCAUUGACACUCCAUCUCCCUUGCUGAAUUCUUCGAUUCAUUGUUACGCAUUUUAGACAAUUAUUCCCAACAUUAACGGGAGAUGCUUGUUGAAGUAGGUUAUUGAAGUUUAAGUUAACAAACAUCAAUACUUAGGGUUAAGAGGAAAGUGAGUUAUGUAAAGCAAUUUGGAUUAUUUCAUUACGAGACGAAUGAUUUAUAGGUUCUCCUAGUUUUAUGACGUCACAAGGAGGCCGGAGUAAUUUUUGGGGCAUUUUUAGGAUUUUCCUACUAUUUAUUACCUAGUUUCAAAGACUUUUUAACAAAAGAAUCCAAAAUUGAAAAGAAGAUGACACCUGGCGCGAUCUCAGCCCGUCACUUUUGACUACUUGUACAAGUAUACGUCAGUCAACAUGGCCACAUCCUCCCAUUUUACCCUAAGUUAUUAUGUUCUUACCUUUUUUCUUGGAAAAUUCAGAACUAAAUACACAAAAAUUAGAAAAAUGAUCCGAAAUUUCUACGAAGUUAUUGAGACUUCAUCUUCCUACUGAAUUCCCUGUUUCAUGGUUAUGCUACAUUAGUAUUUUAUUAUUAUUUAUCCACAAUUAUUAUAAUUAUUAUGAUAUUACUUUGCUGUCCAUUUGUUAAUUAUGUUUAGUCCAACUUGUUGAAAACAAUUUUAUUUUCCGUGCGAAUAGGCCAUUUGUAGUGCUCAUCGGUUUCUCUGUUCUUCUAUUUGUUAAUUUUUUUAUUUUUUAGGUUGAAGGGAUGUUUUGAAACAUAAUAUGGAAAUAUACAAGUCAUCCAUUGUACUCCUUCCACACAAAAAAAUUAUUCUACGUCAUUCACUGUUGUUGUUUUGCUUAAGAAACGUGUAACCAAAUCCUUUCGGAUAUGCUAAGUGGGAAAUUGUCAUUCCCAAGCACUGGUGAAAAGACACCUAUUUACUCCAUGCAUGACUUUUCGUUUACCAAAUAUGAAGAUUGGGGUCGGUGAGCAAAAUAUCUGUGUCAGUAAAAUGUCAUUCCUAGCCGUCUAUGAUGUAAGUAAUAAUUCCGCUAUAUAAUAAAUAUUAUACAUUUAUAUAUAAAACGGUUUAUGACAAAAUACCAACAUUUAAACAACAUUUGUACAACGUAGCCAGCCAACCUAGAAGUGAAGAGAAGCAAGUCCACAAUGCAUCAAAACCAUAAAUUCGUACUAAAACUAAUGCAAAAAUACGUGAUUCCCUCACACAACAUACUCACGCAUCAGUUUGAACCAAAAAAUACUCUCACGGUGCCAUUUGCAUCGAUUGCAACAAGUCCACAGCGCAGGAUUUAUCUUGUCUUCACUAGGCCAGCCUGGAAUAACAAAAUACCAUUCAUUGUUGUUACAAGCGCUGCAGCGAUUGAACUUAAUCUUCCCAUAGUCAAACAUAUCUACGAUAUGUCUUGCAACAAAUGGUCCGCGAAAUCUUCCUGUCAAAGCAUCCCUGGUUCAUUUCAUAUCAAUGUUGUUACGUUGAUUCAAAGAACACAAGAAUUGUAAUGCAUCCUCUUUUGACUGACCAAUUCCGGACUUACCAAGUAGUCCAACUACAUAUGCCGCUUCCAUAUGGCCUGCCGUGGCUGCAAUGCGCAUCCCAUACAACGCUUCCACCUUACCGUGCCUGAAAAAAAGAUCGAAUGCUUCUCUAAAUAUGGACUAAGGGUUAUCGCAAGCCCUGCAUUGUUGCAAGAAAUGCUGGACCGCAGGUCUGGCACGGUACCAGCUAGGAUGGUCUGGGUACUUUGCCAUUGAAAUGGUGUUCCACACUUGUGGACUGUUUGCCAAAGUUUGGAACAAUCGGCACACAGAUGCCAUACAGAAGAGAUCUUCCGAUGAUUCGGUUGCCACGUAUAACAUCACUUGAAACCAGGCGGACUCCGGGAUGAAGGCUUCGGGCAUAUCGAAAUGGAGAUGCUUCCUUCUCUUUCCUCCGAUUGUAGUGAAGUGUUUCGAAUUCAUUGAAAAGUUUUUGGACUGGAACAAUUUGAGGAGUGGCAGAGGGGAUAAAUGAUAAUAUUUGGAGUACACGUUUUGUUUUAGCCUCUGUUUAUAGUGUUUUGAAAAGGUGUUUCCAGUUGGGGUUUUUCCAAGUUGACCCUUUUGAAAGAAACUGAACCCAAAUGAAUUAAAACUUAAGACAAAAGAAGGGAAAACGUCAUAACGGUGCAUACAGAGUCAGACAGUCAAAAAGUUAAUUAAAUGGCUAUUUGCAUAGCCAUUUUUGGGUUUAUCCCACUAUCAAAUUCAUUGAUACAAAUGUGAUGGAUUGCUGACUAGUGACAGAAGGUCCCAUCAUAUAAUUUUUCAUUUUCCCACACCCAACUACCCCUAGUAAUGUUAUUAAAAUGGAAUCAAUAAUGACGGAUUCUUAUCCAACUAGUUGCCUUAAUGAAAUAUAAAUAAAUUAAUAAAAUUGAAGCAGUGUCCCCUCAUUUUUCAGAAAAUAUAUUUGGUAGUGAAGUAGUUUAUAUUGCUUUUCGGGCUAAAAGAUGUCACAAUGCUGACGGUACAGGUGUCGACAUCGUGACCAACCCACCAAAUGAUCCCAAAAAAAAUAAAUAUAACUCGAUUUGGGCAGAGAUGAGAGAGAGCCACCAGUUGCAAUGGAUUCGAAUGGGUUGAUGUAGCCUCCGCUGAAGCAGAACAUCAAGAUGACACGUAUGAUGCUAGAGUGCUGAACACGCUGAAGUCCAUUAAGGACUUGGUAUUAGUUUUAUUAGUUGUAUCAAUUGUCAUUUUAUUUGUUCUUUUAAUGAUCAUUUAACUGCACGGUUUCAAAGAUUGUGAAAGUUCUCCCGCACAAGACAUGUUGCACGCACCACCAAUGAGACCCUAAACCCAUUUUGUAAUAUUUGUUAACUGCAUGUAUUUCGCAAGUUAUAGAACCGAUAUUGAAUGUUUAUUGAAGGUUUAUUGAUAGUUUGCUGCAUGUAUAUGGAAUAUCAUUACCCCAAUAUUGGAUGUUUAUUGGGGCCACAAGUAUCACUCAAGUAAGAAUGAAGGGGGGAAACAGACCUUAUUCUUUCUUUUAGUAGGAAGAACAACUGUUAAGUUUAAUAUCCUAUUCAAUACGACUUCCUUAUGGUUGGUGUACUUGGGGACUGAAGUAUAUUGCAUCAUUAUUGUGGGCAAGGGCAUGUCUAUUGUGUGUGUUAAGGGAGUAUUGUGUGUAUAUUGCAUGUCUAUUGUGUGUAUAUUGCAUGUCUAUUGUGUGUAUAUUGCAUGUCUAUUGUCUGUAUAUGGCAGGCCAAUUUUGUGUAUAUUGUUUGUCUGUUAUGUGUGUAUUGCUUGUCGAAACGCAAGUGAAUUGUUGUUCAUUUUGUGUAUAUUGUCUUUGUUUCUACUUUUAUGCUACUGAGCUGCCGAAAACCGUGCUCAUCGGUUUAGACACCUAUUAUGAUGCAACACAUUGCGAUUAAUGGUGGCUUGCAUCAACAAUGACAUAUCACUUUGCAAUGAUGUAAUACACUUAAAAAGCCAUCUUUAAAUCCCAAUUCACAUAUGCAGUCUUAAAAUUCCAAUUCAAUGCAGUUUGGUUAACAAACAUGUAAAUGUCAUGAAGGACUUAGCGGUAGAAUUCGAUAAGGUCCCGUACGUCUCUAUUGCGUAUUUACAUUAGUUUGAGAAUGGACAUUCCCAAAACCUUCUCAUGUACCAUUUGUCAUCUUCAACCAAUAUCAUGGGAAGUAAGCAUCUCCCCUUGUUAUCUCCGCUGCCAAUUUCAAAAGAAAAAAAGGCAUGUUGUGCGAGGUGCAAGUAGCUAACGGAAGCUGAGCGCUGAAAAGCUCAAUGUACUUUAACACAAACAUGCCACAAUCGCCUCUGAAGCAAAACAAGAACUCGAUCAAUUCAACUAAUGACAUUCUAACGUAAUUGACAAUUGAAAGUAAUAAAAUUAAAUUGCAAGUUGUGCUUACUCAUUAGACUGUUGUGGAACAUCCACACGCUCUAUUGGCCACGGACACCACCAAUCUCGGCUGCAAUUGUUUGCAUAAACACCUUCUUCAUAAAAGUCGAUGGUGUUGAGAAGAUUUGGAAGCGUAAUUGAUAGCGGGGCGAGUUCUUCCUUUACGAUGUCAUUUGGAAUUAGUGAAACCUUUGAAUCGUAAACUUUGAUUUCACACAAUACCAGAUCAAUCAUUACAGCCACCCAAUGCUUGUACUUCGUCAACAUAAAUGGGGUAUACACCUUAUAGACGUUCUGCCAAUCCAUCCCACACGGAGGAACCUUCCCAAUUACAACGUUUAGUAAACUUUUUCUGAUUUUCCACCCAAGCUGCUGUUUUUUUCUUUUAUUAUCCGCAAAGCAAGUACGAAUGUGAUUCUGUGAAAUACAAAACAAUCAAUGGUUAAACACCUCCACUAGUGUGUGUAUGGAAAAUGUGGAAUUAUUAAUGGCACUUGGUCAAGGCCGAUGACAUACCAUAAAAAAAACAUCGGUCGUUGUCCAGUCCGCUAUUUCUACUUCCUCCAACUGUUGUUGUCGCUUCCGGAUGAGAUACAACCCCAAAUCAAUGUGCUGCAACAUGUUUUUCUUGUCAAUCUCAUAAUCUAUGUACAUUAAAACAAAUACAUAAUCAAUUACACUUACAUCUCCUUUCAGCCAACCAUCAGCUUUCACGAGGGAAGCGAAGAAUUCAAUCUCAGCUUCCACGUUGCAAAAUUGCAUCACCAAACUAUGAAUAUAAAACAGUUUUAGAACACUGUAUAUUAAAAAUUAUAUACAGUCAUGCUUCUAUCUUAUAAUUGCAAGGGACUUACUUUGGGUCCUGGCGCCAUUCCCAACAAAGUUUCAGCAAAUUCACCAGAUCAUCAUGCGGAAUCGCCUUCAUUGGGUCUAACAUCUUCAGUCCGGUUGUCUGUGCCCCAGUUUUUGGAACCAAUUCACUGCCUUCAAUGAUCUUCCACAUAGGAAUGAUCCUCUUCCUUUUCCGUAAUUGGACCCCUUGUGCCACAGCUUUACCUUUAUCAUUCAACCACACGUUCAACUGAGAUAGCACAGCUGUAGGUUCAUCCAAAUCAAUGUCCCCGACAGUAAACUCAAGCAGUGUCCCCUCCGUGCUCUCGCCAAUGUCACCCCCAAGCAACAUAACUUCAUUAUCUUCUUUCUCACAUUGAUUUCUUUGCACUUCCUUUUCCUCACUUCUUUGUGUUUUCACUUCCUUGCCCUCCCUUUUUUUCCUUUGCAGUUUCUCUCCCUUACUGCUUUUUAUUUUCACUUCCUCUCCCUCACCGCUCUGUCUUUGGGCUUCCUCUCCUUUGCUACUUUUUACUUGCACUUGCUCUCCUUCACUUCUUUUCCUUUGCCCUUCCUCUACCUUACUUGGUUUUCCUUGCACUUCACCCCCUUCAAUCCCCUCCUCUUCCUUUUCCUCUCCUUCAAUCCCCUCCUCUUCCUUUUCCUCUCCCUCAUUUCUAUUACUUGGCCCUUCACCCCCUUCAAUCCCUUCAUCUUCCUUUUCCUCUCCCUCAUUUCUGUUACUUGGCCCUUCAUCCCAUUGAAUGUCAUCCAUUUCCCCAUAUCCCUUAAAUAGAUGUGAGACGAUACAACGAUUCGUCCUCUGUUUCAGUAAAGCUAGGUCCCUCCUUACUUCCUGCUCAAACUGAGGACCUAAACAUUGGUCCAACAGUUUUUCCAUCCGUAUGACCUUUAAGUGAAGGACGUCUUUUUUCCGCUUUACUUGCAACAACUCGGACCUCAACAAGCUUACCACCUUGUUCAACUCAUCAAGAUCACCACAUGAAGAAGGAAUUGACUCUGCCGAGACAACAGCAGGGUGAUCCUGUGGCCAACUCCAAUAUGGCUGUCUCAUUUCCUCUUCACUCGGACAUAGCGCCCGCAACUGAACUGACUGUUUCAGAAUACAGACAAGAGUCAUAUUAAAUCAUUCUACUUCAUAAUUUCAUUCAAUCUUAUCAAUAGUUCCAAGGGCUGCAAACCAAACCUCUUUGCUCUGGAAAAAAUAAUCGUUCAACUUUCUCAUCUCUGGAACAGACGUAGUAGUUCUCCAUCGCAAAAUACGCGGGACAGCGGUCGGAUCAACAACCUUACAGUAAUUCAGGUCCACCAUUCUAGGAAUUAAUUCAUAUACCCAAAUCUACACAAUUCACAGAACAAAAGUCAUUAUUUAUGUUUUAAAGAAAAACAAAACAUAACUGACAUGAACAUUAUUACCAUGUACCUGGAAAGCAUACGUGAAACCUUUAAAACUCCAGCCACUCCUUUGCGCUUCACCAUGCUUAUCCUUCUUGCCCUUCUCAUUUCUCUGGCUUGUUCCCGUUACCUUACUUUUCCCCUUCCCUCUUCCCUCUUCAUUUUCCAAGCUUUUCACAUACUUUGUUGGUGCAGAAAAUAGACUGUCUUGGGUUUUGUCAAAGGACACCGAACCCCACGGAUACCUGUUGAACGCAUCCAAGUCCUCUACAAGGGUCAGGUAAUUUAGAUUGAUGUUCAAAUGUUUGUCCCUUCCCAAAACCACUAACUCAGCAAAGUAAACAAGAGCUAGCUUGUAGAUGUCAUCUUCCUCUGUGCACCUCAGAAUGCUUCUUCUAAAGCAUUGCAUGUAAUUCCUUCGUCUAUAAAAUAUCUUUUCUGAAGUCUGAUUUCAUCACUCUCUCUGCUGGAAACUUCAGGCACUUCCCCAAAACGAAGCCCUGUGAUCAAACAGAAAUCCUGACGAGUGAAUUGAGCAACGUCACACCCUAAUAAGAAACUCAGUCCAUCCAAGUCUUUCACACCCUGCCCCGCUACUCUAUGCAACACAACCCCAUGCACAAUCUGCCCGCUAAACUGAAUCUUAUCUAUAUUCAGAAGAUGGCCAAAGCAUGAUGUCUUGAAUUGUUCUAAUUGUUCCGCACUCAACUUCGCUCGAAUUGCAGCUAGAGAUGAAUUUGCAUGUGAGCAGUUGUUCACCCAUGACGAAUAUACCUCUGCCUCUGGCCAUACCAGCUCCACGUUGGAUCCCAUUUCCUCAAAUACAAUGUGAAAUAACGUGAACACAUAUACUACCACGUAUUUGCACAAUCACAACUAGUCAACCAGGCACAUUACAAAUUUUACAAAGUACAUGAGCAUAGGGAUUACUGAUCACAGGCUUUAACAUCAUCAAAGCAAUAUGACAAAUUUUGUGCAAAUACCUGUUAAUGCAAUGAUUAUGUGAAUUACAAACAAUUUCACGUGUUUUAUUUAUGGAUCCAUACUCGUGUGAGUGCAAUGUAGGCAAGUUCUGCACUUCACACACAUGACAAUUAUUGUCAUCUCAUACACAACACAAAAUAAAUAAAUAAGAAAUAUAGUGGAAGGAAGCAAAGCAAAGCAUCUACUCUGCUAUCUGCUUGCUAAGCAAUUGCCACAUCCUUCUUCCUUUCUAGCUUUUUCUUCAGUCACCCACAAUCGUCAUAGAUCAACCUUCAUUUCAAAUGCUUUGCACUUUUAUUCAUGAGUUUAUUAUUAUCUGUUCUCAUUUCUCAUAGGCAAAUUUAGUAACAAAUGAAAUAAUAUUUAUUUCACAAAAUAUAUAAAUUCUAGUGCCAGAGAGGUACUCUUCACUCUGCACUGCUUCAAAUGUGGAAGGUUUUGAGCGCCUCCUCCAAUUUAACACCAUUAUCUUAUUCAUAUCAUUACUAACAUGUUAUUGACAUGUUAUUCAGAUGUUAUUGACAUGUGAUUGACUUUAUUUUCAUUCAUUUUUUAACAUAUACCCAAGAAAAAAUUAACAUGCAAUUGAAGCACAAAUAAGAGAUGCCAAAUCCAACAACAUUGAUGGUACAAAUUGGGGAAAACCAUUACUCUAACCCUAAACUCAAAUUCCUUACAUUACUCAUCAAAUGCUUUGCAGUUCUAUUCAUGAGUUUAUUAUUAUCUGUUCAAAUGUUUCUCAGGCAAAUUUAGUAACAAAGGAAAUCAUAUUUACUUCAUAAAAUAUAUAUAUAUAUAUAUAUAUUCUACCGCCUCUUCUUAAUCUGCACUAUGCACUGCUUCAAAUGUGGAAGGUUUUGAGGGCCUCCUCCAAUUCAACACCAUUAUCUUAUUCCUAUCAUUAUUGACAUGUUAUUCACUUGUUAUUGACUUGAUUUUCAUUCUUUUUUUAACAUAUACCUAAGCAAAAAUUAACAUGCAACUGAAGCACAACGAAGAGAUGCCAAAUCCAACAAAAUUUAUGGCACAAAUUGGGGAAAACCAUUACUCUAACCCUAAACUCAAAUUUCAUAAAUUACUCACCAAAUGCUGGUUAUUGCAAGGUGUCUGUGUGGGGUCUUUCUGUUUCUUUGCUCCACAAAUGGAACCUACCACUUCCAACGAAUACAGCUUCUCCCCUUCCCCUUCCACUGCUUCGCCCCUUCACUGAUUUGGAAUCCACACCUUUUCCCCUUCUACUCCAAAUAAAUACUUUUUCAGGGUUUGGAGAACGGAGUGGCGAAUCGUUGCCUUCAACUGUCGUUAGCCGUUGCCUUCAUUGGGUAUCUCAGACCUCUGGGUUUUAGAGAGAUGAGUUCUUUCUGUUCAAACUUUGAACUUGCCUCUUCUUCUUCUUUUUCGGACGUGUUUCCCUCUUCUUCUUCUUUUUGGACGUGCUGGAUAUUCAAUUCGGAUUUGGGUUCCUCACCUACCCAAUUGUGAAACUUUAUCUCAAUUCUCCCCAGCCCUUGGAUUGAUCUGAUGGCUAUAAAGUGAACCCCUUAUAACUUACCCCUUAUAACUUUCCACUCAUUAUAGAGAGACCUCUAGUAGGCUCUCCAUGUAUAUUGUAAUAGUCCUUUAUAGUGAAAUAUAAAUACCAAGCUCUACAGUAGAUAUAGCCCUAUUUAUGGGUGAACCACUCUAAAUCUGUGUAAUGUGUGUGAUUGUCCAUAUAUCCUCUAGGAUCCGUGCUAAAUCACCCGUUAACAGUUGGCGCCGUCUAUGGGAAACGCAGACAAAAUGUCUCGUUUUCCUUUAUCAUACUGAGCCAUAUUCAUCGGCCCAGCCCCUAGGCGAAGUGUGCUCAAGACACCCAUGUGUCUCUCCUCUAAAAAUUAAGAACAGCAGGCGAAACUUAGAUCGGCUCUGGGGAGUGGUCGUGCUACACUAGGGAUGGAGCUGUGGAGAGUUGCCCCUGAAAAACUCCUAGCGGCUGACAUCCGAGCUCGUUGACUUGCAUUUUUCGUUACCACAUCUCCAUGGCGAAGUCACUUGAGCCAGUAGGGGUAGUGAGGUACCUCCAUCACCGCUUAAACUAUGGCACGCCAGAGAACUUGCCACUAUGUAUACAUGCACGACUUCGCCGUUGUCACCAUCAGAAGUGGGGGCGUCACUCUAUGGGCUCCAACGCUCUCGCAAUCCACAUCGGCUCAUACGACGCACGCCGCCGCCAGGCUCAUACGCAGGCGGCAAGGACACGGGCUGUGUGCGCCCCCAUCGUCUUCCCUGAGACGCAGACUAACGAAAGAGAUAAGAAUCUCCUUUUUCCACCUUUUGUUAUUUCACAAUAAAAUAUCGUAUCUCAUUGCCAUGUUAUGAUGUUAUCAAAUUAUCCAAUAAAAUCCAUCGUGUGAUAAUUUGGCAAACCAUGUUUGGGUCUACAAAUACUCUGAGUCAAUAACAUGAACCGCACCAAGCCAGUUAUAAAAUCCUAGAUAUAUAUGGCUCCCCACAAAUGGAAUAUGUAUCCUUUUAAAACUAUUAUAAGGGGAGCUGGACUCAGCUUUACCCAUGUGCCCACUAAAGAGAGAAUAAAUCUCUUCCUGCCAUGAUAUUUACAUUAUAAUAUCGUAUAUUAUGACUUUUUCUAUUGUGAAGUCCAAGUGUGCGGAGUGGAUGCAGACUUCUAUUUGUGACCAUUAGAUUCCUUGUACGCUGUAGAUUUAAAACAUCAUUGAGAACUUCUAUUUCUAUCAGAGCUUUUUAGUCCUUUGGCAAGCGCCAUAAUUUCCCGCGCUUACACCUUCAAUCUACUAACCUCUGUUUCUUUCUUUCACCACAACACCUUCUCUUCUAUGUGCUUUCAUCCCUGGCAAUAUCACAGUUGCUCCUCUGGGUUAUAAUAUUUUUAUUUCUUCUUUUCAACACCUUAUCUUCCGUGUGCUCUCAUCCUUGGCAAUAUCAGAGCUGCUCCUCCAGGUUAGAAUAUUUUUAUUUCUUCUUUUUUUUUGCUUAAUGAUAUAUGGGUAUUUUCCAUUUUGCUUAUGCAAAGUUUUCUGAUUUUCUUAUGGCAUGGGAUUGUUUAGAUUUGGGUGUCGUUGGAAAUCACGAAGGUUGGAAUCGGAAAAACAGAAAGCAUUGAUGUAUGGGUUAUAUGGAUAUGGCUACUAAUUGGUCUUUGUUUUUGUAUGGUUUUGACUAAGUUAUUCUAUUUCGUUUUCUGGUUGAAAGUUUAUUUAAUUCAGGUUUCAUAUGCAAUUACGAGUUUGGCUUUUGGUUUUAAGCAUUGCUACAGUAUUCUUUGCUAUUGUUUACCAAUGUCCCAUUGACCAAUAUUUUUGUUAUUUUUUGCUUUAAUAGAUGAAACUUUAGAGAUGGGGAAGCCCACAAGAAGGACUCGGGACAUAUGAAUUUAUGGAAGAUACUAAUGAAAAUAAUUCAGAUUUAUUUUUCAAUGCUCAAGUAGAAGAUUAGCAUGUACCAAAAAUUGGUCAAGAGUUUGAAUCACUUGAGGAUGCCUAUAACUUCUAUAACAACUAUGCAAAACAAGCGGGGAUUUAGUGUUCGAAGUUAUUGUCAGCAAAGGAGUAAAACUUCUAAUGAGAUCUUGAGAAAAGAAUAUGCGUGCUACAAAGAGGGAGUAUAUUCCAAAGAAGUUUCUAAUGGAAGUGAAAGGCGGCGAGGUGUAGUACGAAGUGGGUGUAAGGCUAAGAUUGUGUUUUUGAAGGUAAGAGAAGGAACAAAUCAACAAUUUGGUGAUGUUAAUAUCCCAACACAUCAACAAUUUAGUCUUCUGGAAGUGCAAGCAGGAGGGAUGCAAAACAUUGGAUAUACAAAGAAAGAUUUAUAUAACUACAAAAGACAAUUGCAGAGAAAGAUGAAGGGGCAUGAUGCACAGAUGUUGAGUGAGCAUUUUAUUGGUGAGCAAGCAAAAAAUGAAUCUUUCUUUUUCAUGAUAGAGGCUGACGAUGAUGAUAGGCUUAAACAUUGUUUUUGGGCUGAUCCAACAUCUAGAAGAGCUUAUAAGUUUUAUGGUGAUGUGGUUGUAUUUGAUACCACUUACAAUACUAAUCGAUAUGGUAUGGUAGUCAAACUAUUCUUUUUGGUUGUGGGAAUCAGAGACAAAGGAAGAAUUUGAGUCAAAGUGGAUGGAUGUGGUCCACAAAGGUAAACUAAAUGAUGAUGAGUGGCUAUCUUCAAUCUAUAAAUACGUUCAAGAUGGGUGCCAACAUAUGUGAAAGAUUUUUUCAGCAAGUAUGUCAAGUAGCCAACGAGUAGAGGGUGUUCAUGCAUUUUUCAAGCUCUAUAUUUCAAAAAGAAAUUCUUUAAUGGAUUUCAUACUACGGUUUAAUAGAGCGCUUGCCCAGCAACGUCAUGAAGAGAUAAUUGCUGAUCAUGUUGAUAUCAAUGAGCAGCGUAUGUUGAAAUCUCCAUUGAUAAUGGAGAAGCAAAAUGGCUGCCAUUUAUACUCGUAAAAUUUUCUACAAGUUUCAAAAAGAGUUGUGGAAAUGUUUGGCAUGUGUACUUCAACUUGCAAGAGAGGAUGACAAUUUAUGCUUUUAUAAGGUAAUGGAGAGGAAAAAAGAUGGUAGCUUCAAGUUGAAGGUGCAAGAAGUCAUGGUUGACAAAGUUGUAGACUAUGCUUCAUGUAUAUGUAAGAAAUUUGAAUUUAAAGGAAUCUUAUGCAGGCAUGUGUUGGCAUACAUGAAAAUGAGACAAAUUGAGUAUUUGUCAAAUAAAUAUAUAUUAAAGAGGUGGACAAGAGCCGCAAAAUCUGAUAUAGUUGUGGAAGAGGGUGGAAGGCAAAUUACUACUGAAAGUGGUGAUAAUUCAUUAUUAAUGAGGCAAACAAGAUUGUCUAAAAUUGCUUUUGAGCUUAUUGAUGGUGCUUGGUAUCUCAAGAGGCAAGUAAAGUUCUACUAGAAAGUUUUGAAGGUAUGCGAGAAAAGAUAAAUUUUGUGGUGCGUAGUAGAAACAAUAUAUGUGGAGGCAAUAAUGAAAAUGCAACUAGUUCACCACAUUUGAAUGACCCUCUUCAAGUAAGGGCGAAGGGCUGCGGUAAAAGAUUGAAGGGAGCAAAAAAGAAAGCAAUGAAUAAGAGUAAACGUCAUUGCCAUGGGUGUGGACAAACAGGACAUGACAAAAGAACUUGUACAACUCACAUUAAUCAGUAAGAAACUAAGUUGAAUUUUUUGUUUCGAUUUAUUCGAUUUAUUCCAUUCAGAGACAUAAUAUAAUAAUGAAUUAAAAGUAAUUAAUAGAUUCAAUUAAUAAUAGGAAGUAGAUGCCACUACUUCGAAGUCAUGCUGUUAGAAAAUUAUAAUAUUUAUAUUUAAUUUUUUAAUAAUUGAAUGAAAAUUAAAUUGUGGGACUCGUGACUUUAAGUACAUGACUUUUACGAAUUGGUAUGUAUCCAUUGGGAAUAGUCAUGUUCUUAACCGAGGAAAAUAAAGUAUUAUUUAUUUUGUUUGUAAAAUGAUAAUACUUUAUGUGAUAAGUUGCAUUGUUUCAUAUAUGAAAAGUUGGAUUGUUUCAUAGAAAUUAAAACAUUGCAUCUUGGCUUAAGUUGCAUUGUUUCAUAUAUGAAAAGUUGCAUUGUUUCAUAGAAAUUGAAACAUUGCAUUUCUUGGCUUAAGUUGCAUUGUUUCAUAAUAAAUGAAACACUGCACUUCUUAGCUUAUGGUUGCAACAUGAAAAGACACAUUUGUUGAUAUUUUUCAAUCACAUAUUUUCUGAACAAAGGCCUUGUUGCCUAUAAAUAGAGAAGAUCCUACAACAUUUCAUUCAUCCAAUUGUCAUCCAAUAGUAGUUUUUAGAGCAUUCAUAGCAUUAUAUUUUUAGAAAUAUAGUGAGUUAGUAAGAGACAAAAUCAUACACAAGUUUGAGUUCGCUUUUCUUGGAGGCAUGUCCACCUCCAUCAAUCCGCCUUCACUACUCGCCGAUGUCGCAGGAACUUCUGCUGCUCUUGCUCCUGCUCCAGCUCCAGCCGCCGCUGCAGCUCCUGCAGCCGCUCCUGCUGCUCCUGCAGCCGCUGCAGCUCUAGCCGCCGCCGCUCCUUCUGUUGCUCAUACUGCUCAUACUGCUCAUGCUGCUCCUGCAGCCACAUCUCCAGCAGCUGCUGCUGCUCCUGCGGUUGCCGCCGCUGCUCUUGCAGCCAAUGCUGCUCUAUGUUGCAUUCAACCUAAAAACGUAAGAAAUUUAGUGUGCAUGAAAAGACUUAAACCUUGACCCUCAAAGGAGGAAAGCCUUGUUCACAAACCACAUCACCAAUCUUAUUUUUGUGGUAUUUUGUCAGUUACGCAAUAUUUAUAUUAACAGUCAAUGGUUUUUUUUUUAAUAUAUAAAAAAAUUUCACAUAUGGGCCUCCUCUUUAGCCUAAUUCAAAACAAAAUUUCAUUCAUAGAUAUUAAAACCCAAACAAAAAUACUCUGUCUCAAAUCCUAAUUAGUCAUUAUGUCUAAUACCUAAUUUUUCUUUAUUGUAUUCAAUCCCAAUGUGGCCUAGGGGUGGGCGCGGUCCGGUUCGGUCCGGUUCUCACCUCAAACCGGAACCGAAACCGGUAUUAUUUAACCGGUCCGGUUUAGGCAAAAAAAAUUUCAAAAACCGGCCGGUUCGGUUCUAACCGGUUCCGGUCCGGUUCUGACCGGUUCCGGUUUUGAACCGGAUUAUUAAUUUAUUAUUUUUUUAAUUUUUUUUUUAAAAAAUAAUUUUUUUUAAUUUUUUUUUUUAAAAAAUUAUAAUAAAUAACUUAUUUUUUUAGCUUAAAAAUGAACAAAUAAUCCAAUUCAUACAUUUAGAAAUUUUUUGAAGUUGAACUUGGAAAAUUAGUGAUUAUAAAAGUUAAAAUAUGGCAUUAGAUUUUAAAAUUUUGUAAAAAUAUAAAUAUAAAAUAUAUGUCCGGUCUGGUUCGGUCCGGUCCGGUGCGGAGAGAUGUAAAACCGGAACCGGAACCGGUUGGAACCGGUUCGGUCCGGUUCCGGUCCGGUUUGUUGACUUUUUUGGUCAACCGAUUUUUUUUCCGGUUUUUUUUCACCGGUUCGGUUCGGUGUUCCGGUUUUCCGGUCCCAAUGCCCACCCCUAAUGUGGCCUUCCCAAAAUGAGCUCCAAAUUGACAUUCUGUGAUACAUAUGGGACUUCAUAACUUAAGCCUUUUGGAUACAUCAUGUCCUCCCAAAACAAAAGAUAUACAUACAAAUACGAUAAAUAAAUAAAAGGAUAAAUUUCACUUUACUAUCCAGAGAAAGAUGGAAAUAUAAUUUCCUUUAUUUUGUUCAGUUAUUCCCAUGAUAUAUAUAUAAAUGACAACUUUUAAAUUAAUCUUUCAACGUAUAUAUAUAUAUAUAUAUAUGUAUGUAUGUUUUGGAAAUAAUUUACUUUAAAUCAUAAUUAAAUUGGUACCUCUACCUCCUGAUCAUAAAGAAAUGGUAGAUCUACCUUGAUUGCAUGCCACGAAGUUUCUUCCGUGCUACAAACCAACAGAUUGAGAGAAUAUUUUCUAUCAGUGGAAUGGAAGCCAUGCAUACAGAUGAAAAAGCAAACAGAGAAAAGAAAGCAAUCUUGUUUAUUAGAGAUAGAGAGCUAGCUUAAUUAGCCACUCUCUCUCUCCAUCCCCUCGCACUUUAGUCUUUACAUUUUGUGCUGAUUGAAAUAAAGUAGAAUUCCCAUGUGAUAUGAUAUCCAUUAAAAUCCCCCUUAAUUAUUUCUUAAAAUUUCCAUCUCGUCUCCUUUGAAAACUAAAUAAAUAAGACUAAAAAGCUGCAAAAAGAUUAUGCAAAUUAAUUAAGCAGCCGAUGAGCAGUUUAAUUCGUGCUUACCUUGAAGAAUUUUCGCACGAGUCCUUGUUAUCAGUGGUAUUCGCGUUCAUUCGGUUAUUACAUAGUUUUGAACCACCUAAACACAUAAGAAAUAUGGCAGGCAAAAGGGAUGCUUUGAAAGGACUAUUAGCAUGCCGAAGGCAGUAAACAUACUGAACUAUAGAGCAAAUGCACUGUGAGAUGCCAGCAACUAGUCCAUAAAUGUCAGGAAGCGUACCAAAAGGCGUAUGUCGAGGAGGUGGUGUAUGAUAAAACCACCAGAGCAUUCCCCAUCUCCUCAACACAACUCUUUCCUUUUUACCUCUGUAAAUUAGCUCCCAGAUGGAAAUGAGCACAGCUGCAAUAGCGAACAGCAUCCCAAAUAGUGCAUAGUGGGGUGUUCUUGGGGAGGAAGCCUGAUCACAAGCAGCUGACAAGAUCUCUAGGCCAAGGCUAGUGGCUAAAAAUAUCCACUCUGUUGAUUUGGAAGUAGCCCUCAUCCCUGAAACUCAAGGAGGGUUUGUAAAGAUUACUAGUAGGUGUUAAAUAUGGCUCAGAAGAAGACUGAUCUCCACGACGAGUAUUUGCAAACCAGGAAACCAGUUGUUGCUCUCUCAAUUUCCAUAGCUAAUAAGCAAGUGCUUUUCUUUGAGACAUAAAUACCUCUGUUUGGUUACUGAACGUUAGCAUUGUGGAGAAAGGAAUUUACAUAGAAAAAGAAAGGAACUUUUGGAGACGGUUCCUCUGUUAGCUUGUGUGUGUAAACAAUAAGAGUGUUGGAAGUGUGAAAGCAGGAAAUAUUAGCUUGACUUGUGUAGACUUGUGGAGAGUGCAGCUACAAGUUCCAGGCCUUAGGAACACAAACCCGCAUAUUUGGAAGGGUUUGUUGGGCGUGGUAUUCUUGAGGACCAGCUACCUACUUGUAAUUAAUAUUAAUACAACGAUGAGCUGUCAAAUACCGCAAGGUAAAGGUGGAGACUUGAAGGAAAAGAAUCAAAGAACGUAUGGCCAAGGUAAAGGUGGAGACUUGAAGAAAGCAGAGCUUGUAGUCCAAUUUAGAGAGACACAAGGUAAAGGUGGAGACUUGAAAAUUCUGACAGCUGCAAUUCAUCUUUGUGGAGCCCAAUAGCAGAAGAAGAGAGUGUUGUGACCAACUGGUUUCAAUAUGUGGUGCCGCUAUGACUGACCGGCUUUUCGUACCAUUUUGGCAUUUGAUUAUUUAGGGGAAAAUCACUUUCUUUGAAAGUGAUGUGCGUGUUAGUGUGUUUGGAAUUUUCACAAACAGUAAUUGCCCCAGCAAGGAUAAAUACGUCUUUCCCCCUGUCUCUCAGUCGCUCGCCUGGUCUCUCUUUCUCCCGGCCGACGCCUCCAGAGUCCACGACCUCCAGCUCUCUUCGCCAACCCAUUCGCAGAAUCGCAGAGCGAGCACAAAUCGAGACCAACUCUCUCUCAUCAUUCCCAUUCUCCGAUGCCCCGAUUCCCAACAUCCUCCACCAUCGAUCACUCCAAACGGAAAAGGUAAAUAAAUGUAUUUUGUUUCUGUGUUUAUUCCAGCAUAUGGUCUUUGUUUUGGUAUUGAAUAGAUGCAAUGAUUUGGUUGCAUUUUAUGUACUGGGUCUAUUGAUUUGAUUUGAUUUGAUUUGAUUCUUCCAUUUUCUGAUUCUCCCCAUCAAUUUUCAAGUACCCAAAUUUAUCAUCUUAAUAUUUGUUGGGUUAUGGAUCAUUGGUGUAGAAACC